AGAGUUUGAUCCUGGCUCAGAACGAACGUUGGCGGUGUGCCUAAUACAUGCAAGUCGAGCGAGAAAGCCGGGGCAACUCGGCGAGUACAGCGGCGGAAGGGUGCGUAAUACAUGGUUAACGUACCCCCCAGAUCGGGAUAACCCUCCGAAAGGUGGGCUAAUACCGGGUAAUGGCAGCGGGUGGCAUCAUUUGCUGCUUAAAGACGCAAGUCACUGGGGGAGCGGACCAUGGCCUAUCAGCUAGUUGGCGGGGUAACGGCCCACCAAGGCGAUGACGGGUAGCCGGACUGAGAGGUUGAACGGCCACACGGGAACUGAGACACGGUCCCGACAUCUACGGAUGGCAGCAGUAGGGAAUCCUGCACAAUGGGCGAAAGCCUGAUGCAGCGACACCGCGUGGGGGAUGAAGGCCUUCGGGUUGUAAACCCCUUUCAUGAGGGAAGAAUACUGACCUAACCUCAGGAAGAAGCACCGGCUAACUCCGUGCCAGCAGCUGCGGUAAUACGGAGAGUGCAAACGUUGUUCGGAUUCACUGGGCGUAAAGGGCACGUAGGCGGCUCGGCAAAUCGGUCGUGGAAUCUCGACGCUUACCGUCGAAACGGCGGCCGAAAAUACCGGGCUCGAGGGCGUGAGGGGUCACUGGAACUCCUGGUGAAGCGGUGAAAUGCGUAGAUAUCAGGAGGAACGCCGGAGGCGAAAGCGAGUGACUGGCGCGUUCCUGACGCUGACGUGCGAAAGCUAGGGGAGCAAACAGGAUUAGAUACCCUGGUAGUCC
RNAcentral lists this ribosomal RNA (775 nucleotides) under uncultured bacterium. RNAcentral's name for it is "bacterial SSU rRNA". It matches the Rfam family "Bacterial small subunit ribosomal RNA", at positions 8 to 796 of the family's 1533-position model. The record is from RNAcentral.